UACAGAGGGUGCAAGCGUUGUUCGGAAUUAUUGGGCGUAAAGGGCGCGUAGGCGGCGUCGUGUGUCGGGUGUGAAAGCCCACCUCUUAAAGGUGGAAUUGCAUUCGAAACUACGGCGCUAGAGUACCGGAGAGGAUGGUGGAAUUCCUGGUGUAGAGGUGAAAUUCGUAGAUAUCAGGAGGAACACCGGUGGCGAAGGCGGCCAUCUGGACGGAUACUGACGCUGAGGCGCGAAAGCACGGGGAGCAAACAGG
Molecule: ribosomal RNA, 253 nt
Filed under: uncultured bacterium
Lineage: Bacteria
Description: partial 16S ribosomal RNA
Rfam family: Bacterial small subunit ribosomal RNA
Source: RNAcentral